GACGAACGCUGGCGGCGUGCUUAACACAUGCAAGUCGAGCGGUAAGGCCCUUUCGGGGUACGACGAGCGGCGAACGGGUAGAGUAACACGUGGGUGACCUGCCUCUAGCUCUGGGAGUAAGCCUGGGAAGGCUGGGUCUAAUACCGGAUAUGACCUCGCGGUGCAUGUUGCGGGGUGGAAAGCCUUGUGCGGCUAGGGAUGGCCCGCGCCUAUCAGCUUGUUGGUGGGGUGAGGCCUACCAAGGCGACGA
Molecule: ribosomal RNA, 250 nt
Filed under: uncultured bacterium
Lineage: Bacteria
Description: partial 16S ribosomal RNA
Rfam family: Bacterial small subunit ribosomal RNA
Source: RNAcentral